RNAcentral lists this unclassified non-coding RNA (2204 nucleotides) under Leishmania donovani. RNAcentral's name for it is "gene:LdHU3.30.2170(CDS-product:hypothetical_prote in_conserved)". The record is from RNAcentral. Lineage: Eukaryota; Euglenozoa; Kinetoplastea; Trypanosomatida; Trypanosomatidae.
GCUUGUUUGUUGUCCGUGGUCUGCUGUCGUGCACGUACGUGCGCGCAUCGGCACACGUAUACCCACACGUCGUUUCGCUCACUGCGGUCUGCUGGAGAUAGUCAAGGGCGGAGGCCCACUUAGUUGCGUAUAAAGCAACCGCACAAAGACCUCUUAGAACCCCUCCCGAAACGAAAAGGAGAGUGGGGCGGGUCAUCCAUUAUCGCACUGAAGGCAAGCGGCGCGUAAUUCACUGCACCCAACGCGCAUCUUCCCUCUGUUCAUCAGACGUGCGCCGCGGGUGGUGUGCGGUAGUUUGUUUUGGACCGUGGCAAGCGCGCACGUUCGAGGUAUUCCCUCUUUAGCUUCUCCUCGCUCUUUAGGACCCUAUUCAGCGCGCUCCUUCGGUGGUCUGGUCACCUCCCACCUCAAAAGGCGCGCGUCUGUUUCUCUCUCAAGGCGCCCACCCUCUAGGUCUGCCAUCGACUAGCCCAUCCGCCCUCGCCUUGCUGGUUGCCCUUGCUUAUUUAGCGUUGAUAGCCCUUUCAUGUGCUUUACCAUUGUCACGGGAAAUGCUGCGCUGCUUCAACGGAUCGAUGCUUCGCCCCACGCGCGGCGCCGCUUCUCUGGCGACUGCGACUGCCCCCGCUGCCAUAGCGCUGCCGGCUCGUCAGUUCCAUAGCGUGUACGGCAUUAUUGGCUCCUGCCUCAUGUGCGGCGCCUGCAUGCUGUGCUUCGGCUCCUGGGCAAACAACUACUGCAACGUGAAGAAGUAUGGCCGCUGGCGCUUUCGAAACUCGAUCGAUGAUGUCAUCAUGGUCUCCGACUUCCGUGGCGCGCGCUACUUCGGGGCCUUCCUCGGCUUUCUCUUUUGGUGGUUUGUCGUAGGCCCGCAGAAGUACCGCUGGAACAGCAACUUGGCCGACAUUCCCGGCAACACACGCAUCGGGCCCUUCUAAACGCCCACGCCGAUAGACAGUAGUCGCUGUCGACGGACCGAGGCAACGAAAACGAGAAUGGCCUUGCCGGUGAGAUGCGGAAAGGGGGAGGAGCCGGGUUCAGCGCGCGCCUGCACGGUAGCGGAGAAGGGCUGGCGUCUCCUUGCUUGUGCGAGUCCACCAGAGGCGGUCGGGGCUGCAGCUGCGCACUUAAGCUGUGCAUCCUCUCGUGGCUUACUAGUGUCCCUCUCCUCCCCGUCUUCCGUGGGAGGCCCUGCUACACAUAUAUGUACAUAUAUACAUAUAUAUAUAUAUAUAUAAUAUGUAUGCACGUGUAUGUCUUUUGACUCCACCUAUCAGCAGUGCUGAGUCGGCCGUUUGUCGCUGCGCUGUUUGUACUUGCCUGUGUGGAGUAGGAACGGCGUUACUUUCGCCCCUUCUCUGGCGCCCCUCGGACAGCAGCAGAUGCGUACGUACGUUUACGUGAAGGCAGAGGAAGGGAAGGGGGGGGGUGACGGCAUCCGCAGCGUAUUUUGCUCGUGUGUGUGUGUCGUCUCGCACAUGCAUGGCGUGUGCUGCUUCCGUCUGGUGGCCGUUUUUUUUUUUCGGACGCCACUCAUCAUCUCCGUCUCGAGGGCGGGACACCGAAAAGGAGGUUCAGCGACGAACAACGGAAAGACAAAGAGAAAGCGAACUUCUGUGGCAAGACAACAUCGCCGGCGACUGGGAGGGGAGGGGAUGUGUUGGGGGGCUGAGGAGGACGCGGCACGAAAGAGAUGAAAUUCGGCAUGUGGAUCUCCGCCUUCGCUUGCGCCCCGGCGUCUGCAUUGUUCGUAUUGUGCAUCCGAUGGGGAUGCGCAGUGGAGGAAGAGGUUCACACAGGCAGCGCCGUGUCAGUGUCCCUUGCGCCACGUCUGCCACUUCUCUCUCGUCGUCUUGCGCGAUGGGCUGGCCUGCCCCACCCUCUUCGUGCAAUGGACUCGCAUCCGCCAAUGCGUCCGCGUGGUAUCGCUUGUCCAGGCGCGCCACCCCUAUGACUACACCGACCCCCUCUCGGGCCCCCUCCUUCCUCGCCUCCGUGUGCCUUGGACUUGCUCAAUCGCACACGCGAUUCUCCGCUACACACACACAAACAUACACACCAACCUUGGCGCGCACAAUGCGAUCGUGGGCGACCCCUCCCCGCUUACAUCCUAUCGCGCACGCACUCGCGCAGCACCAGUGGGACUGUCCGACGCGGCCCACUCCCAUCCCCCUGUUUUGUUUGCGCUCUUACCUCACCUUUAG